RNAcentral lists this ribosomal RNA (591 nucleotides) under uncultured bacterium. Its description in RNAcentral is "bacterial SSU rRNA". It matches the Rfam family "Bacterial small subunit ribosomal RNA", at positions 9 to 630 of the family's 1533-position model. The record is from RNAcentral.
GAGUUUGAUCCUGGCUCAGAAUCAACGCUGGCGGCGCGCCUAACACAUGCAAGUCGAACGAGAAAGCCGGGGCAACCUGGUGAGUAAAGUGGCGUACGGGUGAGUAACACGUGGAUCAUCUACCCUGGAGUGGGGAAUAACGCUGGGAAACCGGCGCUAAUACCGCAUAAUCCCGAGAGGGCAAAGGAGCAAUUCGCUUCAGGAGGAGUCCGCGGCCGAUUAGCUAGUUGGCAGGGUAAAAGCCUACCAAGGCAACGAUCGGUAGCCGGCCUGAGAGGGCACACGGCCACACUGGCACUGAAACACGGGCCAGACUCCUACGGGAGGCAGCAGUGGGGAAUCUUGCACAAUGGGGGCAACCCUGAUGCAGCGACGCCGCGUGAGCGAUGAAGCCCUUCGGGGUGUAAAGCUCUUUCGGCAGGGAAGAUUAUGACGGUACCUGCAGAAGCAGCUGCGGCUAACUACGUGCCAGCAGCCGCGGUAAUACGUAGGCAGCAAGCGUUGUUCGGAGUUACUGGGCGUAAAGGGUGUGUAGGCGGCCUUCUAAGUUUGGUGUGAAAUCUCCCGGCUCAACCGGGAGGGUGCGCCGAA